ACCAAGGCGACGAUCAGUAGCCGGACUGAGAGGUUGACCGGCCACAUUGGGACUGAGAUACGGCCCAGACUCCUACGGGAGGCAGCAGUGGGGAAUAUUGGGCAAUGGACGCAAGUCUGACCCAGCAACGCCGCGUGAAGGAAGAAGGCUUUCGGGUUGUAAACUUCUUUUAUCAGGGACGAAAUAAAUGACGGUACCUGAUGAAUAAGCCACGGCUAACUAC
RNAcentral lists this ribosomal RNA (223 nucleotides) under uncultured bacterium. RNAcentral's name for it is "partial 16S ribosomal RNA". It matches the Rfam family "Bacterial small subunit ribosomal RNA", at positions 267 to 504 of the family's 1533-position model. The record is from RNAcentral.